GGUGCGUUAGUUCAGUUGGUUAGAAUACAUGCCUGUCACGCAUGGGAUCACGGGUUCGAGUCCCGUACGCACCG
This 74-nucleotide transfer RNA is filed under the name Bacteroides fragilis. RNAcentral describes it as "tRNA-Asp". It matches the Rfam family "tRNA". From Rfam's summary of the family: Transfer RNA (tRNA) molecules are approximately 80 nucleotides in length. Their secondary structure includes four short double-helical elements and three loops (D, anti-codon, and T loops). Further hydrogen bonds mediate the characteristic L-shaped molecular structure. tRNAs have two regions of fundamental functional importance: the anti-codon, which is responsible for specific mRNA codon recognition, and the 3' end, to which the tRNAs corresponding amino acid is attached (by aminoacyl-tRNA synthetases). tRNAs cope with the degeneracy of the genetic code in two manners: having more than one tRNA (with a specific anti-codon) for a particular amino acid; and 'wobble' base-pairing, i.e. permitting non-standard base-pairing at the 3rd anti-codon position. The record is from RNAcentral. Lineage: Bacteria; Pseudomonadati; Bacteroidota; Bacteroidia; Bacteroidales; Bacteroidaceae.